This 291-nucleotide ribosomal RNA is filed under the name uncultured bacterium. RNAcentral's name for it is "partial 16S ribosomal RNA". It matches the Rfam family "Bacterial small subunit ribosomal RNA", at positions 775 to 1067 of the family's 1533-position model. The record is from RNAcentral.
GGAUUAGAUACCCUGGUAGUCCACACCGUAAACGAUGAAUGCUAGUUGUCUGCAUGCAUGCAUGUAGGUGACGCAGUUAACACAUUAAGCAUUCCGCCUGGGGAGUACGGCCGCAAGGUUAAAACUCAAAGAAAUUGACGGGGGCCCGCACAAGCGGUGGAGCAUGUGGUUUAAUUCGAAGCAACGCGCAGAACCUUACCUACCCUUGACAUGCCUGGAUGUGAUCAGAGAUGAGAUCGUUCCUUCGGGACCAGUGCACAGGUGCUGCAUGGCUGUCGUCAGCUCGUGCCG